UAAUACGGGGGGGGCAAGCGUUGUUCGGAAUUACUGGGCGUAAAGGGCGCGUAGGCGGCCUGCUAAGUCACACGUGAAAUCCCUCGGCUCAACCGGGGAACUGCGUGUGAUACUGGCGGGCUUGAAUUCGGGAGAGGGAUGUGGAAUUCCAGGUGUAGCGGUGAAAUGCGUAGAUAUCUGGAGGAACACCGGUGGCGAAGGCGGCAUCCUGGACCGAGAUUGACGCUGAGGCGCGAAAGCUAGGGGAGCAAACGG
RNAcentral lists this ribosomal RNA (255 nucleotides) under uncultured prokaryote. RNAcentral's name for it is "partial 16S ribosomal RNA". It matches the Rfam family "Bacterial small subunit ribosomal RNA", at positions 521 to 775 of the family's 1533-position model. The record is from RNAcentral.